Molecule: long non-coding RNA, 293 nt
Organism: Solea solea (common sole)
Lineage: Eukaryota; Metazoa; Chordata; Actinopteri; Pleuronectiformes; Soleidae
Exons: 3
Source: RefSeq, a predicted model, not a curated record
UCACAUAGCUCCCCCCCAGACUGGAUGACUGUCAGUGGAGCCUCGGCGGAACACAAGCUGUCAGGAGGACACAGAGAAACGGCUGGUCUGCUGUGUGGAGUGAGUGACCAAAGGCAGGAGGCCGGUGACACUGCACUCGGCAGCCCUCGCCGCUGAGUUGAGUCAACGGAAAAGUACUGUGAGAGGAAACCGGAGAACCUGGAGAAACCCCACGCACACACGGGGAGAACAUGCCAACUCCUUGCUGAAAGACCCUGGUUCCGACUGGGGUCACAAACCCAGGUCUUCUUGCU